This 497-nucleotide ribosomal RNA is filed under the name uncultured bacterium. RNAcentral describes it as "partial 16S ribosomal RNA". It matches the Rfam family "Bacterial small subunit ribosomal RNA", at positions 28 to 507 of the family's 1533-position model. The record is from RNAcentral.
GAUGAACGCUGGCGGCGUGCCUAAUACAUGCAAGUCGAGCGAACGGACGAGAAGCUUGCUUCUCUGAUGUUAGCGGCGGACGGGUGAGUAACACGUGGAUAACCUACCUAUAAGACUGGGAUAACUUCGGGAAACCGGAGCUAAUACCGGAUAAUAUUUUGAACCGCAUGGUUCAAAAGUGAAAGACGGUCUUGCUGUCACUUAUAGAUGGAUCCGCGCUGCAUUAGCUAGUUGGUAAGGUAACGGCUUACCAAGGCAACGAUGCAUAGCCGACCUGAGAGGGUGAUCGGCCACACUGGAACUGAGCCACGGUCCAGACUCCUACGGGAGGCAGCAGUAGGGAAUCUUCCGCAAUGGGCGAAAGCCUGACGGAGCAACGCCGAGUGAGUGAUGAAGGUCUUCGGAUCGUAAAAAUCUGUUAUUAGGGAAGAACAUAUGUGUAAGUAACUGUGCACAUCUUGACGGUACCUAAUCAGAAAGCCACGGCUAACUACGUG